This is a non-coding RNA of Arachis ipaensis, 230 nucleotides long. Lineage: Eukaryota; Viridiplantae; Streptophyta; Magnoliopsida; Fabales; Fabaceae. The record is from RefSeq and is a predicted model, not a curated record.
CUACCAGAGGCGUGGAGGAAGGGAGGCAGAAUCGCGAGAUUGAGGAGGUACUGUGACUGUCAUUGCUGCUGCGAGUGUGAUCCAUCGUCGAGCUGCACGCCGCCAUCACCAUCGGAAACUACCGUUAGAACCACUACUUUUUUGCUGCGACCGAGGUCGUUGGUGCUUGUCAAGAGUACUAUUAUGGUUUUGAAUCGAUUAGUUCAUGCCACUGCUGCUGACGAGGGGUG